AUACCAUGAUGAGGACAUCUGCUAAGUAACUCCUUAAAUUUUUCUCAUGCAUCAUACAAACUCUCAUCUUCAAGUUGAUGGAAAGAUGUGAUCUCGUUCCUCAAUUU
RNAcentral lists this small nucleolar RNA (107 nucleotides) under Citrus sinensis (sweet orange). RNAcentral describes it as "Plant small nucleolar RNA R71". It matches the Rfam family "Plant small nucleolar RNA R71". From Rfam's summary of the family: R71 is a member of the C/D box family of snoRNAs containing the C (UGAUGA) and D (CUGA) box motifs. The record is from Rfam by way of RNAcentral. Lineage: Eukaryota; Viridiplantae; Streptophyta; Magnoliopsida; Sapindales; Rutaceae.